This 98-nucleotide ribosomal RNA is filed under the name Vibrio parahaemolyticus. RNAcentral's name for it is "partial 23S ribosomal RNA". The stretch from base 1 to 80 matches the Rfam family "Bacterial large subunit ribosomal RNA", at positions 2846 to 2925 of the family's 2925-position model. The record is from RNAcentral. Lineage: Bacteria; Pseudomonadati; Pseudomonadota; Gammaproteobacteria; Vibrionales; Vibrionaceae.
UACGGCGUUGAUAGGUCAGGUGUGUAAGUGCUGUGAGGCAUUGAGCUAACUGAUACUAAUUGCCCGUGAGGCUUAACCAUACAACACCCAAGGGGUUU